RNAcentral lists this long non-coding RNA (498 nucleotides) under Nicotiana benthamiana. RNAcentral's name for it is "long non-coding RNA (NBEN_LNC027386)". The record is from RNAcentral. Lineage: Eukaryota; Viridiplantae; Streptophyta; Magnoliopsida; Solanales; Solanaceae.
CUUCGUCAUAUAUCAAUUUGCGCUUGUUUGUCAUUCACCAAAACCUACACAUAAGAACACACAUUUUAGUAUAAGGCCUUGAGAACGUGUUUCCAACAUAUUCGACUUCCCAAAUGAAGUCUGUGAAUCAGAAAUUCUAAGUAAGGAAUUUUGUUGACCCGAGGGAAGGUGUUAGGCACCCAAUGAAACAGUAACAACCAAUCCAGUAGUAACCCAGGCAGAAACAGAAGGGAACCAGAAACAAAAACUUUUAUGGUUUUCAAACACUCAAGGAAGAAGAAGCUUGAAGCUUCGAUGGAACAAGCAAACUAGCACUGAUUUUCACUAACAAAGAGACCUCACUUUUCAGUUUUUAACUCUCAAACUUACUGAACUUUUUAGAUUGAAAGACCAGUCAAUUUUUACUCUCUCACUUUUCAGCUUUUAACUCUCAAACUUACUGAACUUUUUAGAUUGAAAGACCAGUCAAUUUUUACUCUCGAAUUCUGACUCUCCAAG